AACGAACGCUGGCGGCAUGCCUAACACAUGCAAGUCGAACGAGACCUUCGGGUCUAGUGGCGCACGGGUGCGUAACGCGUGGGAACCUGCCCUUAGGUUCGGAAUAACUCCCCGAAAGGGGUGCUAAUACCGGAUAAUGUCUUCGGGCCAAAGAUUUAUCGCCUUUGGAUGGGCCCGCGUUGGAUUAGCUAGUUGGUAGGGUAAAAGCCUACCAAGGCGACGAUCCAUAGCUGGUCUGAGAGGAUGAUCAGCCACACUGGGACUGAGACACGGCCCACACUCCUACGGGAGGCAGCAGUGGGGAAUAUUGGACAAUGGGCGAAAGCCUGAUCCAGCAAUGCCGCGUGAGUGAUGAAGGCCUUAGGGUUGUAAAGCUCUUUUACCCGGGAUGAUAAUGACAGUACCGGGAGAAUAAGCUCCGGCUAACUCCGUG
RNAcentral lists this ribosomal RNA (433 nucleotides) under uncultured bacterium. RNAcentral's name for it is "partial 16S ribosomal RNA". It matches the Rfam family "Bacterial small subunit ribosomal RNA", at positions 29 to 507 of the family's 1533-position model. The record is from RNAcentral.